RNAcentral lists this ribosomal RNA (176 nucleotides) under uncultured Prevotella sp. RNAcentral describes it as "partial 16S ribosomal RNA". The record is from RNAcentral. Lineage: Bacteria; Pseudomonadati; Bacteroidota; Bacteroidia; Bacteroidales; Prevotellaceae.
GGAGUUUGGUCCGUGUCUCAGUACCAAUGUGGGGGACCUUCCUCUCAGAACCCCUACUGAUCGUUGCCCCGGUGGGCCGUUACCCCGCCGGCAAGCUAAUCAGACGCAUCCCCAUCCCAUAGCGAUGAAUCUUUGCUUCAAAUCUGAUGUCAUCAUUGAAGAACAUAGGGAAUUAA